GGGCAGGUGUUCCGAUUGGUAAUGGGGGUUCACUGUAAAUGAAUUGGUUAAUAGCCGUAAAAGGUUCGAUUCCUUUACUGCUCA
Molecule: transfer RNA, 84 nt
Filed under: Coniophora puteana
Lineage: Eukaryota; Fungi; Basidiomycota; Agaricomycetes; Boletales; Coniophoraceae
Also listed under: 1 other name
Description: tRNA-Tyr
Rfam family: tRNA
About the family: Transfer RNA (tRNA) molecules are approximately 80 nucleotides in length. Their secondary structure includes four short double-helical elements and three loops (D, anti-codon, and T loops). Further hydrogen bonds mediate the characteristic L-shaped molecular structure. tRNAs have two regions of fundamental functional importance: the anti-codon, which is responsible for specific mRNA codon recognition, and the 3' end, to which the tRNAs corresponding amino acid is attached (by aminoacyl-tRNA synthetases). tRNAs cope with the degeneracy of the genetic code in two manners: having more than one tRNA (with a specific anti-codon) for a particular amino acid; and 'wobble' base-pairing, i.e. permitting non-standard base-pairing at the 3rd anti-codon position.
Source: RNAcentral